Molecule: ribosomal RNA, 253 nt
Filed under: uncultured bacterium
Lineage: Bacteria
Description: partial 16S ribosomal RNA
Rfam family: Bacterial small subunit ribosomal RNA
Source: RNAcentral
UACGUAGGUAGCGAGCGUUAUCCGGAAUUAUUGGGCGUAAAGGGUGCGUAGGCGGCCUGUUAAGUUGGAUGUGAAAGCCCCGGGCUCAACCUGGGAAUGGCAUCUGAUACUGGCAGGCUGGAGUGCGGCAGAGGAUGGUGGAAUUCCCGGUGUAGCGGUGAAAUGCGUAGAGAUCGGGAGGAACAUCGAUGGCGAAGGCAGCCAUCUGGGCCAGCACUGACGCUGAGGCACGAAAGCGUGGGGAGCAAACAGG